GUGUCUGAAGUCAAAGCGGUCGAGACGCUGGUUUGUGAAGCCAGUAAAAGCGGGUUCGAUUCCCGUUAGACACC
RNAcentral lists this transfer RNA (74 nucleotides) under Microcoleus sp. FACHB-672. RNAcentral describes it as "tRNA-His". It matches the Rfam family "tRNA". Rfam says of the family: Transfer RNA (tRNA) molecules are approximately 80 nucleotides in length. Their secondary structure includes four short double-helical elements and three loops (D, anti-codon, and T loops). Further hydrogen bonds mediate the characteristic L-shaped molecular structure. tRNAs have two regions of fundamental functional importance: the anti-codon, which is responsible for specific mRNA codon recognition, and the 3' end, to which the tRNAs corresponding amino acid is attached (by aminoacyl-tRNA synthetases). tRNAs cope with the degeneracy of the genetic code in two manners: having more than one tRNA (with a specific anti-codon) for a particular amino acid; and 'wobble' base-pairing, i.e. permitting non-standard base-pairing at the 3rd anti-codon position. The record is from RNAcentral. Lineage: Bacteria; Bacillati; Cyanobacteriota; Cyanophyceae; Oscillatoriales; Microcoleaceae.